Molecule: long non-coding RNA, 2366 nt
Filed under: Brassica rapa (field mustard)
Lineage: Eukaryota; Viridiplantae; Streptophyta; Magnoliopsida; Brassicales; Brassicaceae
Description: long non-coding RNA (BRAP_LNC004572)
Source: RNAcentral
CGCAGCGACUCAUCACUUAAGUUGCGUUUUGUUUCAUCAUGGGCCUUCGUGUUUUUAUGAGCCCUUCUAUCCACUUCGUAUUGUUUUUUUCUUGAAACCUCCGUUGAAUAAAUAAAUUAUGUGGAUGUGACAUGUGGCACUAUGGUUUUCUUUCUUCGUUCAUAUCGUCGAUGGCCCCCUUAAAUCAUCUCAUUAAAUUAUUUAUUCCUCUUUAAAUCCAAUCCACACCCCACUACGUUACAAUAAAUUCACCCAAGCCUCCUCCUAUUAUUUACUCCUAUAAAUAGGAAUAUCGAUUUUGAUAAUUCUCAUCACUUCAUCCAAAUCAUUUCUAUCUCUUGCUUCCAAACUACUGCGCUUCAACGUACCAGAGAUUUUCCAAUACACGAAUCAAGGUUCGAUUAGGUGGGUUUAGAACCCGAAACCAUGAAUGGACGCGUUGAUGUGGCCAUGUGGGAGUUUGAGAGAAACAGAGACUCUAAUCGCUGAGACAUGAGAUAAGAAGCCACUAUCCGAUGGUGAGCGGCUUGAAACUGAGAUAAAUGGUAGAAAUCUUUUCAUUUGUGAAAGUCACAUCCAGUCUGGUGUAGUUUUGUGUAUUAAUACUGCCAUGGUGAAGCAUCUCAGGAAACAAAAAUAAGAAGGACAAGAAGAAGAUAAUCAAUCGUUUACAGAGACAAAAAAAUAUAAAAGAUGAAGAGGCGUGGAAUCUUAUAUAAUAAAUAGAAAAAUAUCUAUAAUUUUGAUUUUACCCCUAAAAAAAUUGAAUUUUUUAAGAGAAUUCGAAAAGUCAAUGAGAGAGAGCGAGAAAGUCGAAAGACAUGACUAGGAGAAAUAAUAGAAAAAUGUUUUUAUUAAAAUGGUGACGUGAGGAGAAGAGUGAUCACAGAUUCACAACUGUAGACAUUCACAUGCCACAUUGGUAUCCUCUUGCUUUAGUUUGAUCCACAAAAUUACAAUGGUACCAUCUUUAUGUGUCUUUAGUGUUUAGUUUGAUUUCAAUUGCAAUUCAAAUAAAACAAAUGCUUUCAAAAAAGAAACUGUCCGAACAUAUAGUAGGAUGUAUUAGUUGAUAAAAAAAAAGUGAGAUUUAUUAAUAUAGCUAUUUUACAAAAAAAAUAAGAAUUACAUGUAAAAGUAAAUGCAAAAAUUAAAAAUUAUUAUUAACAAAAAUUAGCUAAACAGAGAUCACAUUCAAAUAAAAUAAAUGCUUUCAAGAAAAAAACUGUCAAACAUGUAGUAGGAUGUAUUAGUUGAUAAAAAAAAGUGGAAUGUAUUAAUAUAGCUAUUUUAGAAAAAAAAAGAAUUACAUGUAAAAUUAAAUGCAUAAAUUAAAAAAUAAUAAAUACUUAAUUACAAUUAAUGUAUUAAUAUAGCAAUUUUACAAAAAAAAAUAUAAGAAUUACAUGUAAAAUUAAAUGCAGAAAUUAAAAAAAUAGCUAAACAGAGAUCACAUUCAAAUAAAACAAAUGCUUUCAAGAAAGAAACUGUCCGAACAUAUAGUAGGAUGUAUUAGUUGAUAAAAAGUGGGAUGUAUUAAUAUAGCUAUUUUACAAAAAAAAAAUAAGAAUUAUAUGUAAAAUUAAAUGCAGAAAUUAAAAAAUAUUAUUAACAAAAAUUAGCUAAACAGAGAUCACAUUCAAAUAAAACAAAUGCUUUCAAGAAAGAAACUGUCCGAACAUAUAGUAGGAUGUAUUAGUUGAUAAAAAAGUGGGAUGUGUUAAUAUAGCUAUUUUACAAAAAAAAAAAAGAACUACAUGUAAAGUUAAAUGCAGAAAUUAAAAAUAAUAAAUACUUAAUUACAAUUAAUGUCUUAAAAUAUACUCAUAUUAGAUAAUAAAUGGAAUCUAAAACACAUAAAAUUAACAAAUAUUAACGUUGAACUAAAUAAUUUAACAAAAUGAGAAGCAGCUUUUUUCGAACUGAAAUCAACUGAAAACGUAAUCUACUCAAACCCUAAUGGAAGCUAUUUAUAAAACUGAAAACAUUUAAUUAUAGAGAAUACAGAAACAAAUCGAAUGCAUUUGUAUAAGUAUACGAUAAACACCAUUUUCAUAUACUAAGAAGAUAAAAUAAGGAGUUCAAAAAAAAAAGAUGAAACAAGAAGAAUCUCAAUUUGAGUGAAUGCUUUGACGAAUCUAAUUAAAAAAAAACAUAUGCAUUUUUUUUUUGAAGUGAUAAGAGCUUAGAGAGCCUUCCCUAAAUCACUAUGAAAAUAUUUCUCUAUCCAAAACGGUCAUGUUUUGAGAUGGACGCACAUUCUAAAUAAUAACUCAUUCUAGGUGAAACCAUAAUAAAAUGUAUUCAUAUGACACCCUACAAUGAGAGAGCUGCAACUACUUUUUUAUUGAUCAAAAACAAAAAUA